This 441-nucleotide ribosomal RNA is filed under the name Aedes notoscriptus. Its description in RNAcentral is "eukaryotic LSU rRNA". The stretch from base 1 to 129 matches the Rfam family "5.8S ribosomal RNA", at positions 24 to 154 of the family's 154-position model. The record is from RNAcentral. Lineage: Eukaryota; Metazoa; Arthropoda; Insecta; Diptera; Culicidae.
GCUCGUGGAUCGAUGAAGACCGCAGCUAAAUGCGCGUCAGAAUGUGAACUGCAGGACACAUGAACACCGACAAGUUGAACGCAUAUUGCACCUCGUACAACAGUACGAGGUACACAUUUUUGAGUGCCUAUAUUUAACCACAUUCAACUAUACGUGUGUGCGCGUACCACUCCGGGUGGACAGGCGCACGGCCCCCCCUCCGGGCAGCACGUAUGCGGAGUGACGUUUUCCCGCGCGGUUCGCCCGCCACGGUAAAACGUUGAAGAUAGUCAGGCGCGUCGCCCCGCGUGGUCGACGUGGUUGAUGAAUACAUCCCAUAGGCCGCCACCACCAUGUAUCGGCUACGUUGUGUUCCAUCAGCGUGUGCCCCCUCCCGGGGUAUACCCUAUCGGCAUAUCAGUAGGCCUCAAAUAAUGUGUGACUACCCCCUAAAUUUAAGCA